CGGCAUUAAUCCAUUCAGGUGAUAUUAAUGGCCUUUUCCUGCCAGGAACUCCAGUGGGCACUCAGGAAGCCAGGAUUACAGGGCUCUAUCCAGUCACCGCAUGUCUCGGCAUUCGGGAAGCCUAUCUCAGUCUCCUCAAAUUCUGCACACAUAAAACUUCAGAGCCUGGGAGCGACCCAUGAAACGCAGGUUUUUAAGGACAAAACAAUAGGACAAAAGUGCUGUAUAUUGUCCUUAAGAUGACACAUGAAUUUAAAAUGCAUAGUGUUUGGAUUAUUCAUGAGAGCCCCGCAAGAACGAUGUCCCAGGGGUUUUUGCCAGGAACAUGCCUGAGAUUGUAGAUAAGAAUCAAGCAUCUGGGGCUGCCGCACAAUGGAAAACUCCAGCACUCCAUGGAACUUUUCCAUCUGCAGCAGUCGGAGGAUUUGCCUGAGAACAUACGCGGCAUGAAGACACUCUCAGCCCUCAAGGGCACCCAGUCAGCGCUGUUUAAGGACGGUUUUUCUGUUCACAGCAUACUUCAUGAUUACAGCUUCACUCCAUUGGAUACAACUAUUUACUGAGCAUCUCCUGACACCAGAGAGGACGCAACAAAAAUCACAACUCCUAGAACUGCACAGUCUAAAUGGCAACCACUAGCCCCUGUGACAACUGAUCACUUGAAAAAGGCUUCAUUCAAAUCAAAUUGGAAGAGAAGUCCAGAUUACCCAACUACAAUUACCUGAGCAAAAAUCCCCUCAAUUAUCUUGGUAAUCCAGAUAAAUUCGGAGUACAAAGGUGAGUUGCCUGGAUAGCACUGGCUAAGAACUGCUUUGUCUCCCAUUUCACCUUGCAUUAUUAUAAUCUACUUGAUUACACUUCAUUUAUAACAAUAGGGAGGGCUUGUUUUAUGCCACACAUUGCCACUUGCUCAAGUGUAAAAUAAACCUUAAAUGACUGAUGUACUGCUAAAUUUAUCUCAAAAAACAAUCAUAACAGGAAUCUUAAGGCAAUAAAGUCAAACAAAUAGAAUUUUACAGAAUUUAAAAAUUAUUUUGUGAGUGAUUUAUGCUAAAAUACCUCAAAUUUAUUUCAAAAACAGUCUUACUUAAAACUGACUUAAAAUAUAUGUAGGAUAAAUAAUUUGUAGUGAAUUUAACGAAACUUCAGCAAUUCAAAUGAAUGCACAUUAUUCUUCUUAAAAACAGAUAUCCUGAAAAUAUCCAUCAGGAUAAAUAGCUAAUGCAUGUGUGGCCUAAUAUCUAGGUGAUGGGUUGAUAGGUGCAGGGAACCACCAUGGCACAUGUUUACCUGUGUAACAAACCUGCACAUCCGGCACAUAUAUCCUGGAACGUAAAAUUAAAUUAAAUUUUUAAAAAGCAGAUAUUUGGAAAGUACCAAUAGCUUCAAAGUAAAAAUACUCUACACUGUUUUUGUUUGUUUGUUUAUUUUCGUUUUUGUUUUUCUUUUUUGAG
This 1454-nucleotide long non-coding RNA is filed under the name Homo sapiens (human). Its description in RNAcentral is "HSALNT0404129". Lineage: Eukaryota; Metazoa; Chordata; Mammalia; Primates; Hominidae. The record is from RNAcentral.